AAGCACGCUGCCCGUGUAGGUUGGUUCCUGACUCCCGACCCUGACCUUUUCUUCCCUCAUCCAAGGAAACCCUUGUCUCCAUCCCUCCCACUCAUUUCAUCUUCAGGGCCCUUAUCUCCUCCUCAAAUUAUAAAUUUGUUCCAAAUCUCUUUCUCACUGAACUGUAAGCAACAAGAGGCCAGGCUCCCGUCUUCAUUUGCUCACUCUACUUUUUUUCACUUUUUCCAAGGCCCCGCAUAAUGACUGGAAAAGGACAGUUGUUAGAGAAACAAACAAGCAAGCAAACUACUAGAAAACUCCCUGUAUUUUCAACUUUCAUUACUGACUGUACUUUUUUUCAAGUACCAACAAUCAAGAUAUUUAGAUUGCAUGGAGGAACAAAAGUUUAAUUCCUCGUUUAAAAAAUUCCCUGUGUUGCAUUAAUUAGGAAUGUGGCAGCAAUAUGUUUUCUUCUAGUUCAUUUUUUUUCCUCGAGACAGACAUAUUUCAGUUAUGUACUGUGGCCAUCCAGUUUUUUGUGAGCUACUUGGAGUGUAACCGCUGUCUCUAACAUCAUUUUGAUGUCAAAAGGGAACUUACUGAGCCUGGCAUCGUUCUAAAUACUUUUGCAUAUUUAAAGCUAUUCCGUCUUCACAUAGCUAUGUAAAAUUGAUAUUUUUAAUUAUAAUUUUGCGGAAAAAGAAAUUAGAGGGGAAAUUAGAGAAGAUCAGAGAAGUUAAGUAGCUUGCCAAAGUCACACAGCUAGUGAAUAAAAUUAUUAGGAAGCUCUGUAUAACUCUAAAGCCCAUGCUUUCUCUGUCGUAUGAACUGACUUACAAGUAAAUAUUUUGAGACGGAGAAAAGAAGACCUCCUAAUUAAGUUCUAUUUUGGAUUAGUGGGAUCAACCUUCUGAGGAAACCAACAGUAAAAGUUGGACAAAAUCGUCGAUAAUGGAACUAAAACUUUUGUUCAGCAGAUUGGCCACCAGUUUUCACUGACAAAAUCCCACGUAGUUUUGGUGUGGAUGUAGCGACCGACUGUGUUUAACCAAAGAUAUGCCAAUCUGCUGUAAGUUUACUCACCAAUCAAAGCCAACGAUUCAAACCUGAUGACACGGAUGGUCAAAGGCUGGGAGCCAAGGCUGGCGGGCAGGUGUCUGAGGGAGCCUCUAGGCUCCGCAGAGGUGUGGAGCAGAGCCCCUGCUAGAUAUCACCCUGUGAUGACCCUGAGUAUUAGGGGCUGGGAAACUUGUCAAAAAAUAUGGAACUCUUAUGAAAGCAAUUCAGCCACUCCAGUUGAAUGGCAUCGUCUCUGCAGAGGGGCAUGUUUGCUUGACCACCAACCAUACGGCGGCUCUCAUCUCACAGUUUGCACACGGACGCCCCAUAGUUGUAUAUUCUUCGUUGUGGUAUGUGGGAUGCUGCCUCAGCGAGGUGUGAUGAGCAGUGCCAUGUCCGCACCCAGGAUUUGAACCAACGAAACACUGGGCCGCCUGCAGCGGAGCGUGCUUUUCUUACUAACCUGUAAGGAAUGACUUCGUGGGACUUCACUCCUAUGCCUUAGCACUUAGGAUGAAAAUAUUGCGGCCAAGGAGGGCCAAGCUUGAUUAAAGGACAUGAAGAUGAGCUAAUGGAAGCAUAUACU
Molecule: long non-coding RNA, 1624 nt
Organism: Equus asinus (donkey)
Lineage: Eukaryota; Metazoa; Chordata; Mammalia; Perissodactyla; Equidae
Source: Ensembl